GAAUAUUGGACAAUGGGCGAAAGCCUGAUCCAGCCAUGCCGCGUGUGUGAAGAAGGUCUUCGGAUUGUAAAGCCCUUUCAGUUGGGAGGAAGGGAAGUAAGUGAAUACCUUGCUGUUUUGACGUUACCGACAGAAGAAGCAACGGCGAACUAUGGGAAAGCAGCCGCGGUAAUACAGAGGGUGGAAGAGUUAAUCGGAAUUGAUGGGCGUAAAGCGCGCGUAGGUGGUUCGUUGAGUUGUAUGUGAAAUCCCCGGGCUCAGCCUGGGAACUGCAUCCAAAACUGGCGAGCUAGAGUAGGGCAGAGGGUGGUGGAAUUUCCUGUGUAGCGGUGAAAUGCGUAGAUAUAGGAAGGAACACCAGUGGCGAAGGCGACCACCUGGGCUCAUACUGACACUGAGGUGCGAAAGCGUGGGGAGCAAACA
This 423-nucleotide ribosomal RNA is filed under the name uncultured bacterium. Its description in RNAcentral is "partial 16S ribosomal RNA". It matches the Rfam family "Bacterial small subunit ribosomal RNA", at positions 359 to 774 of the family's 1533-position model. The record is from RNAcentral.